AAGAAGUGGUGCUGUGAAGAGAACAAUAGUCAGACUGAAUGUUGAACAUCAGCUGCUUCCUCCUGCUGAUUUAAACCUUGGUGGACAGAUGGAACAUUGGCUGUGGAUUAUUCUGGCUGCUCUUUUCUCUGAGUGUAAAGGAGACUCAGUGAAGCAGACAGAAGGAGAAGUUGUUGCUGCUGCAGGAGAAUCACUGACUCUGAGAUGUACUUAUGAGAUCAGCUAUGGAACUGGGACCUUAUUCUGGUACAAGCAAGAAGAAACCAGUUCUCCAAAGUACAUGUUGAAACGUGUGUCAUCAGAUGGAGACAAUGCUCCUGAGUUUAGCAAAGACAGAUUUGAUGCAAAAGUCACUAACUCAGACUUUGACCUGAAGAUCCAGGAUCUCCGUCUGUCAGACUCUGCUGUGUACUACUGCGCUCUGCAGCCCACAGUGACAGGAAACACCAGAACCCUGUACAAAAACCUGCAGUACUCCACAGCAGCCACUAGAGGGCCUCACUCCCUGUUAAUCCACUAAAACCUGCAGUACUCCACAGCAGCCACUAGAGGGAUGUUUGAAAGUACAUUAGAGCAUUUAAAAACAUACAUGUUGGUUUUGGCAGGAAUUCGUCUUUAU
Molecule: non-coding RNA, 619 nt
Organism: Xiphophorus maculatus (southern platyfish)
Lineage: Eukaryota; Metazoa; Chordata; Actinopteri; Cyprinodontiformes; Poeciliidae
Source: the annotation of a RefSeq genome assembly